Molecule: ribosomal RNA, 873 nt
Filed under: uncultured Acidobacteriota bacterium
Lineage: Bacteria; Pseudomonadati; Acidobacteriota
Description: bacterial SSU rRNA
Rfam family: Bacterial small subunit ribosomal RNA
Source: RNAcentral
AGAGUUUGAUCCUGGCUCAGAAUCAACGCUGGCGGCGCGCUUAACACAUGCAAGUCGCACGAGAAAGUCCGCAAGGAUGAGUAAAGUGGCGCACGGGUGAGUAACACGUGGAUGAUCUACCCUUUAGUGGGGAAUAACCCUGGGAAACCGGGGCUAAUACCGCAUAAGUCCGAGAGGAGAAAGCCGAAAGGCGCUGGAGGAGGAGUCCGCGGUCGAUUAGCUAGUUGGCGGGGUAAAAGCCCACCAAGGCUGCGAUCGAUAGCCGGCCUGAGAGGGCACACGGCCACACUGGCACUGAAACACGGGCCAGACUCCUACGGGAGGCAGCAGUGGGGAAUCUUGCACAAUGGGGGAAACCCUGAUGCAGCGACGCCGCGUGAGCGAUGAAGCCCUUCGGGGUGUAAAGCUCUUUCGACGGGAACGAUAAUGACGGUACCCGGAGAAGAAGCUGCGGCUAACUACGUGCCAGCAGCCGCGGUAAUACGUAGGCAGCGAGCGUUGUUCGGAAUUACUGGGCGUAAAGAGUGCGUAGGCGGUGCUCUAAGUUUGGUGUGAAAUCUCCCGGCUUAACUGGGAGGGUGCGCCGAAGACUGGAGUGCUUGAGUGUGGGAGAGGAAAGCGGAAUUCCUGGUGUAGCGGUGAAAUGCGUAGAUAUCAGGAGGAACACCUGCGGUGUAGACGGCUUUCUGGACCACGACUGACGCUGAGGCACGAAAGCGUGGGUAGCAAACAGGAUUAGAUACCCUGGUAGUCCACGCCCUAAACGAUGCAUACUUGGUGUGGGCAGUUCAUUCUGUCCGUGCCGGAGCUAACGCGUUAAGUAUGCCGCCUGGGGAGUACGGUCGCAAGGCUGAAACUCAAAUGAAUUGACGG